Molecule: transfer RNA, 57 nt
Filed under: Ovis aries (sheep)
Lineage: Eukaryota; Metazoa; Chordata; Mammalia; Artiodactyla; Bovidae
Rfam family: tRNA
About the family: Transfer RNA (tRNA) molecules are approximately 80 nucleotides in length.
Source: Rfam by way of RNAcentral
UAGCUCAGAGGUUAAAGCGUCUGCCUGCAAUGCGGGAGACCCAGGUUCAAUCCCUGG